Molecule: non-coding RNA, 45 nt
Filed under: Schistosoma bovis
Lineage: Eukaryota; Metazoa; Platyhelminthes; Trematoda; Strigeidida; Schistosomatidae
Also listed under: 1 other name
Source: RNAcentral
AUCCAGCUGACGAGUCCCAAAUGGGACGAAACGCGCAUCCUGGAC